This 482-nucleotide ribosomal RNA is filed under the name Blastocystis sp. subtype 1. RNAcentral's name for it is "SSU rRNA". It matches the Rfam family "Eukaryotic small subunit ribosomal RNA", at positions 459 to 954 of the family's 1831-position model. Lineage: Eukaryota; Bigyra; Opalinata; Blastocystidae. The record is from RNAcentral.
UGGAGGUAGUGACAAUAAAUCACAAUGCGGGACUAUACGUCUUGCAAUUGGAUUGAGAACAAUGUACAACUCUUAUCGAUAAGCCAUUGGAGGGCAAGUCUGGUGCCAGCAGCCGCGGUAAUUCCAGCUCCAAUAGCGUAUAUUAACGUUGUUGCAGUUAAAAAGCUCGUAGUUGAAGUGUGGGUGAUCGCUAUUGUGAGACUUCGGUCUCUCGACAGUAAGUCACCCCCUUCCAGUAUCCAGUAGUGGGUAUUCACUUACUUACUACUGUGUGUUGGUCCUUUACUGUGAGAAAAUUAGAGUGUUCAAAGCAGGCGUUUGCUUGAAUAGAUUAGCAUGGAAUAAUAAUUGAAGGCUUUCGUGUUCGAUUUGAUUGGUUUGUUCAUGGAAGCAAGGUUAAAAGGAACAGUUGGGGGUAUUCAUAUUCACUAGUUAGAGGUGAAAUUCUCGGAUUUAUGGAAGAUGAACAAGUGCGAAAGCAA